UUUUAAUGAGAGUUUGAUCCUGGCUCAGGACGAACGCUGGCGGCGUGCCUAAUACAUGCAAGUAGAACGCUGAUGUUUGGUGUUUACACUAGACUGAUGAGUUGCGAACGGGUGAGUAACGCGUAGGUAACCUGCCUCAUAGCGGGGGAUAACUAUUGGAAACGAUAGCUAAU
Molecule: ribosomal RNA, 173 nt
Filed under: Streptococcus agalactiae MRI Z1-023
Lineage: Bacteria; Bacillati; Bacillota; Bacilli; Lactobacillales; Streptococcaceae
Description: partial 16S ribosomal RNA
Rfam family: Bacterial small subunit ribosomal RNA
Source: RNAcentral